RNAcentral lists this ribosomal RNA (253 nucleotides) under uncultured bacterium. RNAcentral describes it as "partial 16S ribosomal RNA". It matches the Rfam family "Bacterial small subunit ribosomal RNA", at positions 524 to 776 of the family's 1533-position model. The record is from RNAcentral.
UACGACGGGUGCAAGCGUUGCUCGGAAUCAUUGGGCGUAAAGGGCAAGUAGGUGGUCUUGUUUGUCUGACGUGAAAUCCUUGGGCUCAACCUAAGAAGUGCGUCGGAAACGGCAAGACUAGAGUCCUAGAGAGGGUCGCGGAAUUCCCGGUGUAGCGGUGAAAUGCGUAGAGAUCGGGAGGAACACCAGAGGCGAAAGCGGCGGCCUGGACAGGUACUGACACUCAACUGCGAAAGCGUGGGGAUCAAACAGG